This 40-nucleotide ribosomal RNA is filed under the name Kirschsteiniothelia sp. RNAcentral describes it as "partial 28S ribosomal RNA". The record is from RNAcentral. Lineage: Eukaryota; Fungi; Ascomycota; Dothideomycetes; Kirschsteiniotheliales; Kirschsteiniotheliaceae.
CAUCGACCUCGGAUCAGGCGGGGAUACCCGCUGAACUUAA